Molecule: ribosomal RNA, 438 nt
Filed under: Wolbachia endosymbiont of Trichogramma ostriniae
Lineage: Bacteria; Pseudomonadati; Pseudomonadota; Alphaproteobacteria; Rickettsiales; Anaplasmataceae
Description: bacterial SSU rRNA
Rfam family: Bacterial small subunit ribosomal RNA
Source: RNAcentral
CAUACCUAUUCGAAGGGAUAGGGUCGGUUCGGCCGGAUUUUACACAAGUGUUGCAUGGCUGUCGUCAGCUCGUGUCGUGAGAUGUUGGGUUAAGUCCCGCAACGAGCGCAACCCUCAUCCUUAGUUGCUAUCAGGUAAUGCUGAGUACUUUAAGGAAACUGCCAGUGAUAAGCUGGAGGAAGGUGGGGAUGAUGUCAAGUCAUCAUGGCCUUUAUGGAGUGGGCUACACACGUGCUACAAUGGUGUCUACAAUGGGCUGCAAGGUGCGCAAGCCUAAGCUAAUCCCUAAAAGACAUCUCAGUUCGGAUUGUACUCUGCAACUCGAGUACAUGAAGUUGGAAUCGCUAGUAAUCGUGGAUCAGCAUGCCACGGUGAAUACGUUCUCGGGUCUUGUACACACCGCCCGUCACGCCAUGGGAAUUGGUUUCACUCGAAGCU